GAUGAAGAACGUAGCGAAAUGCGAUAAGUAAUGUGAAUUGCAGAAUUCCGUGAAUCAUCGAAUUUUUGAACGCACAUUGCGCCCCCUGGCAUUCCGGGGGGCAUGCCUGUCCGAGCGUCAUUUCUGCCCUCCAGCCCGGCUGGGUGUUGGGCGCUGUCCCCCCGGGGACACGCCCCAAAGGCAGUGGCGGCGCCGCGUCGGGUCCUCGAGCGUAUGGGGCUUUGUCACCCGCUCGGGACGGACUCGUCGGCGCUGGUCUUCCUCCAGGCGACCCUUCGGGGCUCGUCUUCCUUCGGUUGACCUCGGAUCAGGUAGGGUUACCCGCUGAACUUAAGCAUAUCAAUAAGCGGAGGA
This 354-nucleotide unclassified non-coding RNA is filed under the name soil metagenome. Its description in RNAcentral is "partial contains 5.8S ribosomal RNA, internal transcribed spacer 2, and large subunit ribosomal RNA". The stretch from base 1 to 120 matches the Rfam family "5.8S ribosomal RNA", at positions 35 to 154 of the family's 154-position model. The record is from RNAcentral.